GACAACGGACAUCUCCCGGUGUGGGAUGAGGAUGGAGGACAUCCUGUGGCUUGGGAAGUGGACAGUGAACAUCCCCCAGCUUUGAAAGAUGAUGGCAAACGUGCAGCGUUUUGGGAAGAGGAUGGAGAACCUGCAGCAUUUUGGGAAGAGGAUGGAGAAGCUGCAGCAUUUUUGUAAGAGGAUGGAGAACCUGCAGUGUUUUGGGAAGAGGAUGGAGAACCUGCAGUGUUUUGGGAAGAGGAUGGAGAACCUCCCUCUGCUUGGGAAGAGGACAAUGAACCUCCCUCCGCUGUGGGAUCCUGGGCUGAACAUUCUGACAGCAGCACAGCCCUGCAGCCAGAGGGGAGAGGGGAGUGGUGCCUGAUGCAGCUGAGUAAGUCUGCUCUGUUCCUGGGUGCCCGAGCAGGUGCUGUGUGUGUGUCUCGGCAUCAGCUGCACCCAGUGUUGCUCUGCAGCUGAAUGUCACAGAGCCAUUUAUUGUCCUUCCCCAGCUGACACCAAGGGGCUCACGGCCCCAGGGAGCGGGGCUGGCUCUGGCUCUGCUGCAAGGCGGGCUCUCACUCUGGGAGGGAGCGUCUUCCACGUGGUUUCUUUCAGGGAACGCCGUGAGCGAGGCGGAGCCUGCCGAGAAAUACCUGGAAGUGGAGCAGAUUGGCCAAGGGGCUUUCGGAACCGUUUAUAAAGGACUCGACAGGGCCACUGGAGGAGAGGUGGCCAUAAAGAAAAUGAGUCUCAGAGGGCAGAACAGGGAACGAGCUGUGAAUGAGAUCCUGCUCCUGAAGGACAAGAAGAACCCCAACAUUGUCAACUCUUU
Molecule: long non-coding RNA, 814 nt
Organism: Camarhynchus parvulus
Lineage: Eukaryota; Metazoa; Chordata; Aves; Passeriformes; Thraupidae
Exons: 3
Source: RefSeq, a predicted model, not a curated record